Molecule: ribosomal RNA, 492 nt
Filed under: uncultured bacterium
Lineage: Bacteria
Description: partial 16S ribosomal RNA
Rfam family: Bacterial small subunit ribosomal RNA
Source: RNAcentral
GGUGAACGCUGGCGGCGUGCCUAAUACAUGCCAGUCGAGCGGCCGGACGGGAAGCUUUCGUCUCUGAUGGUAGCGGCGGACGGACGAGUGACGCGUGCAUAACCUACUUCUUUUUCUUGGGUGACUUCGUGAAGCCAUUGCUGCUACCAGCUCAUACUUUCUACCGCAUAAAUCAAGGGUGCUUCACGGUCUUGCUGUCUCUUAUAGCCGAAGUCGGAUUAGCUAGUUGGCGGGGUAAAGGCCCACCAAGGCAACGAUCCGUAGCUGGUCUGAGAGGAUGAUCAGCCACACUGGAACUGAGACACGGUCCAGACUCCUACGGGAGGCAGCAGUGGGGAAUAUUGGACAAUGGGCGCAAGCCUGAUCCAGCCAUACCGCGUGGGUGAAGAAGGCCUUCGGGUUGUAAAGCCCUUUUGUUGGGAAAGAAAAGCAGCAGGUUAAUACCCCGCUGUUCUGACGGUACCCAAAGAAUAAGCACCGGCUAACUUCGUG